AGGUGCCCUGACAGUUAUGUCCUAGAACAAUGCACCGUAGUGAGUUUCAGGAUAGCAUGUUUUCUUCUUAAGCCUUACCUCCUAUGUCUUUUAUCUCUCUACAUCUACUGGCUUGUGCCACCUCUGGUGGAUGAAGGCACCUACAGCCCAAUACUAUGGCUAAACAAGCAUGCCGGAAAGCUUGAAGAACAUCAUCUGCCCUUUACAGAGCAAAAGCAUCCUCUGAGUAGCUAAAGCUUGGACUUCUAAGUAAGGCAUCGAUGAAGAGAUCAUCCCAAUUCUGUUGACUUCCUGAAGUAAUGCUCAGUGCCAAGAAAUCUCUUCAAUCUUUAAAAAUCUAUCUGGCAAGACAUUUUAGCAACCAACCCUAAACCUAACGAUGGAUAAAGAAACUCAGAAGAGGAAACUCAGAAGAGGAAAAGGUCUAUUCAGCCCUGAAAGAUGAAGACUUGUUUCUUCAAUUACUUCAAAGAUCUGAACAAAACAACAUCUUAGGAAGGAGAGCCCCAAAGAGAGGCAUCCAUGGUCCAGAUUAGUGGUACAA
This is a long non-coding RNA of Hyaena hyaena (striped hyena), 544 nucleotides long. RefSeq lists it as uncharacterized. The record is from RefSeq and is a predicted model, not a curated record. The transcript is spliced from 5 exons. NCBI's taxonomy places the organism in Eukaryota, Metazoa, Chordata, Mammalia, Carnivora, Hyaenidae.